CCUACGGGUGGCAGCAGUGGGGGAUAUUGGACAAUGGGGGGAACCCUGAUCCAGCGACGCCGCGUGAGUGAAGAAGUAUCUCGGUAUGUAAAGCUCUAUCAGCAGGGAAGAAGAAAUGACGGUACCUGAGUAAGAAGCCCCGGCUAACUACGUGCCAGCAGCCGCGGUAAUACGUAGGGGGCAAGCGUUAUCCGGAAUUACUGGGUGUAAAGGGAGCGUAGACGGUGAUGUAAGUCUGGAGUGAAAGGCGGGGGCCCAACCCCCGGACUGCUCUGGAAACUAUGUGACUGGAGUGCAGGAGAGGUGAGCGGAAUUCCUAGUGUAGCGGUGAAAUGCUUAGAGAUCAUACAGAACACCGAUUGCGAAGGCAGCUUACCAAGCUACUUCUGACGUUGAGGCACGAAAGCGUGGGGAGCAAACAGGAUUAGAUACCCGUGUAGUC
Molecule: ribosomal RNA, 442 nt
Filed under: uncultured bacterium
Lineage: Bacteria
Description: partial 16S ribosomal RNA
Rfam family: Bacterial small subunit ribosomal RNA
Source: RNAcentral